This 253-nucleotide ribosomal RNA is filed under the name uncultured bacterium. Its description in RNAcentral is "partial 16S ribosomal RNA". It matches the Rfam family "Bacterial small subunit ribosomal RNA", at positions 524 to 776 of the family's 1533-position model. The record is from RNAcentral.
UACAGAGGGUGCGAGCGUUAAUCGGAAUUACUGGGCGUAAAGGGCGCGUAGGUGGUUGUAUAAGAUUGUUGUGAAAUCCCUGGGCUUAACCUAGGAACUGCAACGAUGACUGUAUAGCUAGAGUAUUGUAGAGGGUAGUGGAAUUUCCGGUGUAGCGGUGAAAUGCGUAGAGAUCGGAAGGAACACCAGUGGCGAAGGCGGCUACCUGGACAAAUACUGACACUGAGGCGCGAGAGCGUGGGGAGCAAACAGG